Molecule: non-coding RNA, 86 nt
Filed under: unclassified sequences
Source: RNAcentral
UCGCUUUUGCCACCGGGUAAAAGCUGCAAGGUGUUCACAGCAUUCCGUUAGGUCUAAGAAGGAAUGCUAUGAGCACCUUGUUUUUC